UGUUAAAAAUUUCAUCCAUUUCUACCGUUGAAAACUUACGUAAUCGACAGAAUAAUCAAAAUGUUACACAUGAUGUGUCACGUGCACCUCAUUUUAAUAUAUAAAGACCAGUUUUUAACAAUAGAAAUGGAUAAAAAUUUUAACA
Molecule: non-coding RNA, 145 nt
Organism: Gossypium raimondii (Peruvian cotton)
Lineage: Eukaryota; Viridiplantae; Streptophyta; Magnoliopsida; Malvales; Malvaceae
Source: Rfam